CAGCUUGUUGGCGGGGUAACGGCCCACCAAGGCUACGAUGGGUAUCCGGCCUGAGAGGGUGUACGGACACAUUGGGACUGAGAUACGGCCCAGACUCCUACGGGAGGCAGCAGUAGGGAAUUUUGCGCAAUGGGGGAAACCCUGACGCAGCAACGCCAUGUGUGGGAUGAAGCAUUUCGGUGUGUAAACCACUGUCAGCGGGGAAUAAACGGCAGCUUCGGGCUGCUUUGAAUGUACCCGCAAAGGAAGCCCCGGCUAACUUCGUGCCAGCAGCCGCGGUAAUACGAGGGGGGCAAAUGUUGUUCGGAAUCACUGGGCGUAAAGGGAGCGUAGGCGGGUUCUUAAGUUAGGUGUUUAAUCCCGGGGCCCAACCCCGGACCGGCACUUAAAACUGGGAAUCUUGAAUAGUGGAGAGGUCAGUGGAAUUGGGGGUGUAGCGGUGGAAUGCGUAGAGAUCCCCAAGAACACCAGUUGCGAAGGCGGCUGACUGGACACAUAUUGACGCUGAGGCUCGAAAGCAUGGGGAGCAAACAGGAUUAGAUACCCUG
RNAcentral lists this ribosomal RNA (548 nucleotides) under uncultured bacterium. RNAcentral describes it as "SSU rRNA". It matches the Rfam family "Bacterial small subunit ribosomal RNA", at positions 242 to 789 of the family's 1533-position model. The record is from RNAcentral.